RNAcentral lists this ribosomal RNA (399 nucleotides) under Triticum aestivum (bread wheat). RNAcentral's name for it is "partial small subunit ribosomal RNA". The record is from RNAcentral. Lineage: Eukaryota; Viridiplantae; Streptophyta; Magnoliopsida; Poales; Poaceae.
AUGUCUUUGAAGGUAUUAUGCUGGAACGUGAGUGGGCUCAAUAACCCUGCUAGGCGCUCAUCAGUUAGGCUUUUUAUGCAAUCUUGUAAUGUUGCCCUUGCUUGUUUACAAGAAUCUAAGCUUGAGGUGGUGGAUGCGGCAGUGGUCUGCCAGGUUCUUGGUUCUGGGUUUGAUGAUUUUGAUUUUCUGCCGGCUGUGGGCACUCGAGGGGGCAUACUGAUGGCUUGGAAGUCGGAUGUUUUGCGCGUUAAUAUCGUUCACAAGGGAGAGUUCUCUAUUACUGCAAACGUUCUGUCUCUUACGGACGGCAAGGCUUGGGCGGUGACCUCGGUGUGCGGUCCUCGGGAGGUGGAUGACAAGAUCAGGUUUCUGCAAGAGAUUGAGCACAUUGGGCAAUAG